RNAcentral lists this non-coding RNA (104 nucleotides) under human gut metagenome. RNAcentral describes it as "FMN riboswitch (RFN element)". It matches the Rfam family "FMN riboswitch aptamer (RFN element)". From Rfam's summary of the family: The RFN element is a highly conserved domain that is found frequently in the 5'-untranslated regions of prokaryotic mRNAs that encode for flavin mononucleotide (FMN) biosynthesis and transport proteins. This element is a metabolite-dependent riboswitch that directly binds FMN in the absence of proteins. The record is from RNAcentral. RNAcentral also lists the same sequence under 2 other names.
CUUCAAGGCAGGGUGUGAUUCCCUACCGGCGGUAUAGCCCGCAAGCCGAAAGGCACGAUUUGGUGAGAUUCCAAAGCCGACAGUAUAGUCUGGAUGAGAGAAGU